Molecule: small RNA, 89 nt
Filed under: Arabidopsis thaliana (thale cress)
Lineage: Eukaryota; Viridiplantae; Streptophyta; Magnoliopsida; Brassicales; Brassicaceae
Description: ATSL198150
Source: RNAcentral
GACUACUUGUCAUGUGUAUGAUUGAGUAUAAGAACUAGAAACGCAACUGGUUCCCAAAAGCCAAAGUAGUGUUUCCUUGUUUGAAGUUA